RNAcentral lists this ribosomal RNA (384 nucleotides) under uncultured bacterium. RNAcentral's name for it is "bacterial SSU rRNA". It matches the Rfam family "Bacterial small subunit ribosomal RNA", at positions 130 to 507 of the family's 1533-position model. The record is from RNAcentral.
UCUCCGACUCAGGACAACCCGGGGAAACCCGGGCUAAUACCGCAUACGUCCUACGGGAGAAAGAGGGCCUCUGCUUGCACGCUCUCACUCCAGGAUGAGCCCACGUCCGAUUAGCUAGUUGGUAGGGUAAAGGCCUACCAAGGCCACGAUCGGUAGCUGGUCUGAGAGGAUGAUCAGCCACACUGGGACUGAGACACGGCCCAGACUCCUACGGGAGGCAGCAGUGGGGAAUAUUGGACAAUGGGCGCAAGCCUGAUCCAGCAAUGCCGCGUGUGUGAAGAAGGCCUGCGGGUUGUAAAGCACUUUCAGUGGGGAAGAACAGAUUCGGGUCAAUACCCCGGAGCCCUGACGUUACCCACAGAAGAAGCACCGGCUAACUCCGUG